GGGCGUUAAGUUGCAGGGUAUAGACCCGAAACCCGGUGAUCUAGCCAUGGGCAGGUUGAAGGUUGGGUAACACUAACUGGAGGACCGAACCGACUAAUGUUGAAAAAUUAGCGGAUGACCUGUGGCUGGGGGUGAAAGGCCAAUCAAACCGGGAGAUAGCUGGUUCUCCCCGAAAGCUAUUUAGGUAGCGCCUCGUGAAUUCAUCUCCGGGGGUAGAGCACUGUUUCGGCUAGGGGGCCAUCCCGGCUUACCAACCCGAUGCAAACUGCGAAUACCGGAGAAUGUUAUCACGGGAGACACACGGCGGGUGCUAACGUCCGUCGUGAAGAGGGAAACAACCCAGACCGCCAGCUAAGGUCCCAAAGUCAUGGUUAAGUGGGAAACGAUGUGGGAAGGCCCAGACAGCCAGGAUGUUGGCUUAGAAGCAGCCAUCAUUUAAAGAAAGCGUAAUAGCUCACUGGUCGAGUCGGCCUGCGCGGAAGAUGUAACGGGGCUAAACCAUGCACCGAAGCUGCGGCAGCGACACUCAGGUGUUGUUGGGUAGGGGAGCGUUCUGUAAGCCUGUGAAGGUGUGUCGUGCUGUCU
RNAcentral lists this ribosomal RNA (585 nucleotides) under Salmonella enterica subsp. enterica serovar Bovismorbificans. RNAcentral's name for it is "partial 23S ribosomal RNA". It matches the Rfam family "Bacterial large subunit ribosomal RNA", at positions 690 to 1270 of the family's 2925-position model. Lineage: Bacteria; Pseudomonadati; Pseudomonadota; Gammaproteobacteria; Enterobacterales; Enterobacteriaceae. The record is from RNAcentral.